Molecule: microRNA precursor, 71 nt
Organism: Ophiophagus hannah (king cobra)
Lineage: Eukaryota; Metazoa; Chordata; Lepidosauria; Squamata; Elapidae
Rfam family: mir-451 microRNA precursor family
Source: Rfam
UGUGGCGUGUCAGCGAAACCGUUACCAUUACUGAGUUUAGUAAUGGUAAGGGUUCUUCUGCCCCGCCCGAU